Molecule: ribosomal RNA, 1221 nt
Filed under: Callismilax plicicollis
Lineage: Eukaryota; Metazoa; Arthropoda; Insecta; Coleoptera; Tenebrionidae
Description: SSU rRNA
Rfam family: Eukaryotic small subunit ribosomal RNA
Source: RNAcentral
UUGUCUCAAAGAUUAAGCCAUGCAUGUCUCAGUACAAGCCGAAUUAAGGUGAAACCGCGAAAGGCUCAUUAAAUCAGUUAUGGUUCCUUAGAUCGUACCCACAUUUACUUGGAUAACUGUGGUAAUUCUAGAGCUAAUACAUGCAAACAGAGCUCCGACCGGAGACGGAAGGAGCGCUUUUAUUAGAUCAAAACCAAUCGGUGGCGAUUUACGUCGUCAUCGUACAACUUGGUGACUCUGAAUAACUUUACGCUGAUCGCACGGUCUUGCACCGGCGACGCAUCUUUCAAAUGUCUGCCUUAUCAACUGUCGAUGGUAGGUUCUGCGCCUACCAUGGUUGUAACGGGUAACGGGGAAUCAGGGUUCGAUUCCGGAGAGGGAGCCUGAGAAACGGCUACCACAUCCAAGGAAGGCAGCAGGCGCGCAAAUUACCCACUCCCGGCACGGGGAGGUAGUGACGAAAAAUAACGAUACGGGACUCAUCCGAGGCCCCGUAAUCGGAAUGAGUACACUCUAAACCCUUUAACGAGGAUCAAUUGGAGGGCAAGUCUGGUGCCAGCAGCCGCGGUAAUUCCAGCUCCAAUAGCGUAUAUUAAAGUUGUUGCGGUUAAAAAGCUCGUAGUCGAAUCUGUGUCCCGCGCCGCCGGUUCAUCGUUCGCGGUGUCAACUGGCGUGCCGCGGGACGUCCUGCCGGUGGGCUUAGCUCGAAAGGGCGGCCCAACUCAAUCCCGCCGCGGUGCUCUUCAUUGAGUGUCGAGGUGGGCCGGCACGUUUACUUUGAACAAAUUAGAGUGCUUAAAGCAGGCUAAAACUUCGCCUGAAUACUGUGUGCAUGGAAUAAUGGAAUAGGACCUCGGUUCUAUUUUGUUGGUUUUCUGAACCCCGAGGUAAUGAUUAAUAGGAACGGAUGGGGGCAUUCGUAUUGCGACGUUAGAGGUGAAAUUCUUGGAUCGUCGCAAGACGGACAGAAGCGAAAGCAUUUGCCAAAAACGCUUUCAUUGAUCAAGAACGAAAGUUAGAGGUUCGAAGGCGAUCAGAUACCGCCCUAGUUCUAACCAUAAACGAUGCCAGCUAGCGAUCCGCCGACGUUCCUCCGAUGACUCGGCGGGCAGCUUCCGGGAAACCAAAGCUUUUGGGUUCCGGGGGAAGUAUGGUUGCAAAGCUGAAACUUAAAGGAAUUGACGGAAGGGCACCACCAGGAGUGGAGCCUGCGGCUUAAUU